UACGAAGGGGGCGAGCGUUGUUCGGAAUUACUGGGCGUAAAGCGCACGUAGGCGGCUUUACAAGUCAGGGGUGAAAGCCCGCGGCUCAACCGCGGAAUUGCCCUUGAGACUGUAUCGCUUGAACACGGGAGAGGUGAGUGGAAUUCCGAGUGUAGAGGUGAAAUUCGUAGAUAUUCGGAAGAACACCAGUGGCGAAGGCGGCUCACUGGACCGUAGUUGACGCUGAGGUGCGAAAGCGUGGGGAGCAAACAGG
This 253-nucleotide ribosomal RNA is filed under the name uncultured bacterium. RNAcentral describes it as "partial 16S ribosomal RNA". It matches the Rfam family "Bacterial small subunit ribosomal RNA", at positions 524 to 776 of the family's 1533-position model. The record is from RNAcentral.